AAGUCGUAACAAGGUUUCCGUAGGUGAACCUGCGGAAGGAUCAUUAUUGAAUAAACUUGGUUAGGUUGCUGCUGGCUCCUUGGAGCAUGUGCACACCUAGCACCAUUUUUACCACCUGUGCACCCUUUGUAGACCUGGAUACCUCCCGAGGAAACUCGGUUUGAGGACUGCUGUGCGAAAGCCAGCUUUCCUUGCAUUUCCGGUCUAUGUCUUUAUAUACCCCAUAAGAAUGUAACAGAAUGUUAUUAACUGGCCUUUGUGCCUUUAAUCAAAUACAA
RNAcentral lists this unclassified non-coding RNA (278 nucleotides) under plant metagenome. RNAcentral describes it as "partial contains small subunit ribosomal RNA and internal transcribed spacer 1". The stretch from base 1 to 46 matches the Rfam family "Eukaryotic small subunit ribosomal RNA", at positions 1786 to 1831 of the family's 1831-position model. The record is from RNAcentral.